RNAcentral lists this ribosomal RNA (450 nucleotides) under Canthon doesburgi. Its description in RNAcentral is "partial 16S ribosomal RNA". Lineage: Eukaryota; Metazoa; Arthropoda; Insecta; Coleoptera; Scarabaeidae. The record is from RNAcentral.
CAUGUCUUUUUGAUUAUAAUUUAAAGUCUGACCUGCCCUAUGAAUAUAAAAGUUUAAAUGGCUGCGGUAUUUUGACCGUGCAAAGGUAGCAUAAUAAUUAGUUUUUUAAUUGGGAACUGGUAUGAAAGGUCGAACGAGAAAAAAACUGUCUCAAUUUAAUUUUAAUUAGAAUUUUAUUUUUAAGUAAAAAAGCUUAAAUAAUUUUAAAAGACGAGAAGACCCUAUAGAGUUUUAUAAAAAUUUAAUUAUUUAAAAAUUAAAGAAUUUAAAGUUUAUUUAUUUUAGUUUUUAUUUAAUUGGGGCGAUUAAAAAAUUUAAAGAACUUUUUUUAAAUAAUAACAUUGAUUUAUGAUUAAGUGAUCCAUUUGUUAUGAUUAUAAGAUUAAAUUACCUUAGGGAUAACAGCGUAAUUUUUUUUGAGAGUUCUUAUCGAAAAAAAAGUUUGCGACC